RNAcentral lists this ribosomal RNA (164 nucleotides) under uncultured bacterium. RNAcentral describes it as "partial 16S rRNA". It matches the Rfam family "Bacterial small subunit ribosomal RNA", at positions 355 to 511 of the family's 1533-position model. The record is from RNAcentral.
UAGGGAAUCUUCCACAAUGGACGCAAGUCUGAUGGAGCAACGCCGCGUGAGUGAAGAAGGUUUUCGGAUCGUAAAGCUCUGUUGUAAGAGAAGAACGUGUGUGAGAGUGGAAAGUUCACACAGUGACGGUAACUUACCAGAAGGGACGGCUAACUACGUGCCAG